This is a long non-coding RNA of Pantherophis guttatus, 438 nucleotides long. RefSeq lists it as uncharacterized. NCBI's taxonomy places the organism in Eukaryota, Metazoa, Chordata, Lepidosauria, Squamata, Colubridae. The record is from RefSeq and is a predicted model, not a curated record.
UGUGGUCUGAGACAUGAAGAGAAGGAAUGCCCCCCUCCCCUCCAUCCUCUGAAGAAGCAUCCCUGAUUAGUGGGCAAGUCAGUCUGAAGGAUCAGAGGAGGAUCAAACAAAACAUCUACAAAACCUCACCAGACUAGAAGGGCAGCCAAUGAGUCAGUCAUAUGGGAAGUUGUUGGGACGCAGUGUUUCUGGAGAAAAGAAGGAUCUUUCAUGGAUUCUUGACCUACUUCUCUGAGAGUAAACCCAGAGACUUUCCAAUGAUCAGAGCUUCAUUUUUUCCUCCAGCAAACUGGAAAAAGACAACAGAACAUAUUGCUUCACACUCCCUAUCUGAAAAGAUACAUCAGGAAGAGAUAAAAUUAAGCAUCAAGCUGUGACAUCUAAAUGACAUUUUACAGAGAGAACGUCUUGAAUAGUAUGGAAAGACUCACAAAGUUU